This 458-nucleotide ribosomal RNA is filed under the name uncultured Geobacter sp. RNAcentral describes it as "bacterial SSU rRNA". It matches the Rfam family "Bacterial small subunit ribosomal RNA", at positions 342 to 791 of the family's 1533-position model. The record is from RNAcentral. Lineage: Bacteria; Pseudomonadati; Thermodesulfobacteriota; Desulfuromonadia; Geobacterales; Geobacteraceae.
CGGGGGGCAGCAGUGGGGAAUUUUGCGCAAUGGGCGAAAGCCUGACGCAGCAACGCCGCGUGAGUGAUGAAGGCUUUCGGGUCGUAAAGCUCUGUCGAUGGGAAAGAAGUGUAUUGGGGCUAAUAUCCUUGAUACUUGACGGUACCCAUAAAGGAAGCACCGGCUAACUCCGUGCCAGCAGCCGCGGUAAUACGGGGGGUGCAAGCGUUGUUCGGAAUUAUUGGGCGUAAAGAGCGUGUAGGCGGUUUGUUAAGUCUGAUGUGAAAGCCCUGGGCUCAACCCAGGAAGUGCAUUGGAAACUGGCAGACUUGAAUACGGGAGAGGGCAGUGGAAUUCCUAGUGUAGGAGUGAAAUCCGUAGAUAUUAGGAGGAACACCGGUGGCGAAGGCGGCUGCCUGGACCGAUAUUGACGCUGAGACGCGAAAGCGUGGGUAGCAAACAGGAUUAGAUACCCGCGU